AGGCCCUACGGGGCGCAGCAGGCGCGAAAACUUUACAAUGCGGGAAACCGUGAUAAGGGGACACCGAGUGCCAGCAUCAUAUGCUGGCUGUCCAGAUGUGUAAAAUACAUCUGUUAGCAAGGGCCGGGCAAGACCGGUGCCAGCCGCCGCGGUAACACCGGCGGCCCGAGUGGUGAUCGUGAUUAUUGGGUCUAAAGGGUCCGUAGCCGGUUUGGUCAGUCCUCCGGGAAAUCUGAUGGCUCAACCAUUAGGCUUUCGGGGGAUACUGCCAGGCUUGGAACCGGGAGAGGUAAGAGGUACUACAGGGGUAGGAGUGAAAUCUUGUAAUCCCUGUGAGACCACCUGUGGCGAAGGCGUCUUACCAGAACGGGUUCGACGGUGAGGGACGAAAGCUGGGGGCACGAACCGGAUUAGAUACCCGGGUAGUCCCAGCCGUAAACGAUGCUCGCUAGGUGUCAGGCAUGGCGCGACCGUGUCUGGUGCCGCAGGGAAGCCGUGAAGCGAGCCACCUGGGAAGUACGGCCGCAAGGCUGAAACUUAAAGGAAUUGGCGGGGGAGCACAACAACGGGUGGAGCCUGCGGUUUAAUUGGACUCAACGCCGGACAACUCACCGGGGACGACAGCAAUAUGUAGGCCA
Molecule: ribosomal RNA, 638 nt
Filed under: uncultured archaeon
Lineage: Archaea
Description: bacterial SSU rRNA
Rfam family: Archaeal small subunit ribosomal RNA
Source: RNAcentral